This 5655-nucleotide long non-coding RNA is filed under the name Megachile rotundata (alfalfa leafcutting bee). RNAcentral describes it as "uncharacterized LOC105662324". The record is from RNAcentral. Lineage: Eukaryota; Metazoa; Arthropoda; Insecta; Hymenoptera; Megachilidae.
AACUAACUCAAACGGGUCAGCUAUCAAGAGAGCUAGUACUCUUUGAAAUCGGUUUCGACUACUCGUGUGUAAGUCUUACCCAGGUACUUGUACAACCAAGCAACACUGAACCAUCGAUGAACCUGCGAACGAAGUCGCGUUAAUCGUUGUACCUACAUAUUGCAGUGGCUUUGUCUAUCAACGGGGAAAGAAGGAACGUAGAAGGCCGUGUUCCCGGGCACAAUAUCAGCGUAGGUGAAUGGAAGACGGAGCGUGGCGGCGCGUGUCACGUGUUCCCUCGAAUAAUAUGUAAACGCGCGUGCAGCCCGGGCACGUCGAACGGAAGACAGAGCGGCGGGGCCAAGUGUUUGUCAGCAUCGCGAAACGUCAUAAUGGAGCCUCGAUGCUAAUAACGGAUUUUCGAAAGGGCAAUGCGCCCGGUGCAAGCAGGCGCGUGCAACGACGCAGAGAAAUCAGGCAGGCACGCACAGCGCGAAACAGAGAAAGACAGCGCCCCGUUAUACGAUCGUCGUUUCCCCCAGGAAGCCGUCGAAUCCUCGCUCCGCACGCCCACGCAAACACGACUGCGGCGAGACGAGUAGAAAAAAAGAAAUUGGAGGCACACGAUAUAAUGACGACGCUGACAAAAGGACAAAACGGUUACGCCCUCUAUACUGCUGCGACUACUACUCGCCGUUACGGGUCGUCUUUGACUCCCGUUGAAUAUUUAUAACUCGCUUUCGAAUCAUGCUUUUUACGGUAGUCGAGGGGAGAGAGCGCUCGACGAAACGAGUACGAGACUCCGUUUGUUUGAUGUAUCGUGACGAGUGGAAAUCAAUUUUAAUUGAAUUGAUUAUAAGCUAACCGUGGAGGAGGCGGUCGCGGUAAAGCCCCGAUCGGGCGCGAGCCUUUCGCGAGACCUCGAGGAUCCGCGGAAAACACAGUAAUGAACUUCGCGAAUCUCGUAUUCAUGUAUUCCACGCGCGCUCGUCUCCCGUUGUCUGCCACCGAUGCGUUCAUCCAAGGGACCAUCGAUCCACUUAUUCCAGUUAAAACGAGUCAGCCUUAAGACGCGUUUACACUAGGCAAGUAGGUAGUACCGAGUUACCCGUACGAUUAUUAAUGAUCUACUUUUGCAGGAACACACAAAAACCCAACGUAAUUCUCGAAGCACAUCAAGAGACUGUGACAUAACACGGAUAAGUUCAGUGAGAGAUCCCGAGAUUCAGCGAUUUGACAGUGUAAGGAGACUAUCAGUGACGCAUGAUAAUCGUACACUCUGAUUCAAUCGAGCUCGUAAUGAGAGGUGGCAAACAUCGUCAAUAUUAUCGAGGGUCGAAGGGGUGGUCCUGUGAAUUCGUCUACCAGUUUAUAGAGUCCUGUCUUUAUUCCAGGAGCUAGCUCGGCUUUCUCCCGUUCUCUACGGCAACAAUAACAUCCCCCGUGGAUUCCAACCCUGGAACGGCUUCGAGGGACCCCCACGGUAAUCCUCACCCUCGCCGAAAAAAGGGCCAAAGGGGGAGGGUUUAACAGUUUACACGUCGGAUCAUCCCUCGUUAUUGUUGCGUUUAUGAUAAUAGCAGCCGACUGCCACGCACGCAGACCCGGCUGACCGCUUCAACCCCAUCCUAAGGGUCAAGAUCGUUACCACGCUCAGGUAUUUAAUUAGACGGCUCUGCCGAUGCUGUACCUCUCGUUACGGUAUUAAUUUCACUGUUUCCAUAGGAGCAUAACUUCUUCCACUUUACUGGAUACGUUUUUGUGUUGGAUUCAUUUACGCUGAAGCCUCUUGGCGGUAAUGGCAAUAUCUACAUCAACAAUGUCUACUUUGUCUAUCGCUGCGUGUAAUAUGAUUGUUGCAUUUAAUUUUCAUCAGUUCCCGUUUAAACGAAAUUAAACAUUUUUAAUGCGUUCAAUUUUACGUACUGCAUAGACACAUUUAUCCGCUGUUUCAGGGAGAAGGAUUCAAUAUGGUGGUGAUAGCGAUUUAAUUGGAAAGUUUCGGUCGUUUGGAAAAAAUGAUUUUCCAAUAUUAAGAUGGCGGACAAUUAAUUACAAAAUGAAAGCUCCGCCUGCUCGACGCUGAAGCCCGCGAAAUUGUAUUGGAAAGGCAGAGGGGAAACGAUGGAAAGAGAGAGAUAUUCGUUCAUACGUUAGGUAGUAUAUGCGCUGUGCGUUGCCUAUCCGCCAUGGGUAUUGGAUUGGAUUGGAUCGCCGCGUCAGCAAUACAAACACUCGAAGCCUCGAUGUGGGUCGGCCUCUCCCGUUCCUGUUUCAAACUGAAAUUACACUUUCCCGUCCGACCCGACGUCCCCCCUCACCCCCAUCUAUAGCCCCAUUUUUAUUCUUCGCGUUUGUCGUUUUUCCAUUCGUCAUAAAACGUUUUGCCAAAGUUUUUGUCGAAGUUCACCGUUAAAAACCAAUCGCCAUUUUCAACGGUUUUAACAGCACGGAACUCUGAUUUUAUCAGGUUGUUGUAUAUCAAAUGGCCAUGGAAUAACAUUUAUCAUGUAUCAAUUCAAACUUUAAAAUUUUAUCAAAAUUAAUGCAUCAAUGUUUCAUCGAUAUCGUUAGUUCCAGCUGACUGCUGGCUGGAGCACUUUAUAGCUUAGCAAUAUCCACUGGCGAAUAUUUAGUUUGCCUGCGUUUCGAUAGCAGACAUUUUGAUUUAUUUCUCUGUGGAGAGUCUGCAGUUUACAGAGUACGAAAUCCUUUUUGGAAACAAUCCCUAUACGGAGGUCAUGAAAGUUUAAUCUUUAAACUGUUGCAUUAUUGAUUAGUCUCCAUUUAUUUAAAAAUGAAAUUACAUGUCUUAACAAGAAUUCGAAGUACAUUAUAUUUUUACGUUUCAGCGAUUUCAAUGAUGCCAGAAGUUCCGUGAACCGUUCAAAGCUCCAGGAAAAUUGGUCGCAAACUGUGAAGCCGGGAGACGACUUUCACGGAAGAGGAAUCAGAGAGGAGGUCGACUGCGAGCGUCGGAGCGUUUCCGUUCGAAGGAUUAGAAAAUUAAAGGCGGAGGCACAGGUCGGCGGAGUUCGAGGCGCGUAUAAAUUCUCUCCCCCGCGAACGGGAGAAAAAGACCCGUGGCGGGCGCAGCACGGAAAUCGAAACCCUUUAACCGCGCUUUCCUCGAGAGGCGAGACCAACCGACUAACUCGAAUGAAAAGGCACCGGUGCUGGUAAGAGACACUUCGUGCACGCUCCUGCUGGCGUGUAUCCGAGCACGAGAGAAAGAAGAAAAAAUGGAAGGAGGAGAGAACGAGAGGGGGCAAAGAGGAAGGAGAAGACGCUUAUUUAGCUUACCUUUUACUUACACGUGCUAUACAAUGUUUACCUACACUCGUCUAAGCGUAUAAGACUGGAGGGACUGCUCGAGAGGAAUAAUGUUUGCGCAAGAAGAAUGGAUAUGCGAUUUCGAUAUUUAAAAAAGAAAGGGAUAAGGGAAACUAGUGUGUAUCAAGGUUGCCACGAUGCUGACUUUCUAACGGGAAGGUUGUUGAUUCCCUUACAAUAGUCAAAGCGGCCAUUGACGAAAGUGGCUUGGAAAUUUAAUUCACGAAAUCAAAGAAGCAAAGUUUCAGACUUUGGUAGCAUCAGAUAUACGAUAAUUUCUCCAAAGUUUAAAUUGUAUUAAUGUUAUAUUUCGAAUAUAAUCAAAAAGCGCGAUACGCAUACGUCUAACUAAGGAGCAUAAAAUUAAUCUCACGAUCGCAUUACGAACAAUGAUUAUUUGGAAGAAUAACCUAAGAUAAACCAUCGAAAGUCCACAAGUCCUCCACGUUCAUUCUGCAAAGAACAUGACUGUUCUCCAAACAACAGUGCCGACAUCAAAGUCAGCCCCGAUUUAAAACUUGCAUGUCUCGAGACAUUUCUCGCAAGAGCAAAACAAGAAAAAGGGGUUGUGUUCCGUCGAAACGUGGACGGCAACUACCUGAUGACAAGAAGAAAACAAUGAGCAGCAGCAGCGGCGGCGGCGGCAGCAACGUACGUUCCCCAUCGUGGCUGAAGGCCUGUACAAGAUGGCGCCUAGCAAGCCGGAGUACCACUCGGGCGAUUUCCGGUGGCUUUGUUCCGCGCACCACUCGUACACGGGGUGUAUUCGAUGAAACUCGAGGUUUAAAGGCGCGUUUUUCAGCCCCGUGCUAUGAGCUUACGUGCGUGCGCGAGAUAUAAAGAGGUUUUUCUUCUAUGAAGCCAGUUAGCCAACGAACCGGUAAUUCCUCCGCCGCUUCUACACGGCCCUCCUCUCCUCCUCGACUUCCUCUCUUUGCGCCGGUUCCUCGCGUUUCGACUUCAGCUUCCUCCUUUACUUCUUCUUCUUCUUCUUACCCUUUGCCGGCCUACCACCGUUCAUUCUCGCCUUUGCGCACUGCAGAAGAAGAAACGAGCCGGGUGCAGCUCAAGAUCUCUCCUCCUCUAACCAUCCCUUCCUCCCCGUUUCUCUUUCUCUUUCUACCACCGAGCGUUUUCCUGUUCCUCUUUUCAGUCGACGGUAAUGGAGGCCCUCGAAGCCGGUCCUUCUAGCGCCUCGACGAGCCUCCUACCUCCGCGAAACGAAACGAAACGAAACGAGAGACGAGACACGUUUACCCCACCGACGACUUUUACUUUCUUUCUCCCUCGGUCGCGCCCCCGUUUCUCCGUUUCCUGCGUUCUCGCUCGUUCCCUCGACAAGAAAAUGCAAACCUUGGUCGGUGUUAUAACGACGAGGCCAACGGCGCGUUGAUAUCGCUCGCUAAUGCUUUUUUCAUCGAUUAGGGUUAGCCGGUAUUCAUGGGCGACCGUUUCUAACGUUCGCGGCCGGAAAGAAGGCAUGGAGAUCGGUCACAGAGAACAUCUUCGAUCGCACGAUGAAAGAGUGGUACAUAAUAAGAGAAACCACAUGCAUUCUUUACAACCCGUCGAUGCAACGAGAUUUAAGAUUUACAGGAUGCUGUAUCGGGAGAUCGUUAUUGGAAUUUACCGCUCCAGGCGUUUACAGGUGCUUCUAUGGUUCUGACGGUGACUGUUAUCGAAAUUUAUGUUCAGAUACGAAGUACAUUAUGGAACAUGCGCAGUUUCGUGAUUACUAAAAGUAGUCGGUGGCCUUAGUCACUUAACACCUAUCGGCUUUGGUAAGAUCAGCACUGUCAUAAUUAGGGACCAAGAUAGUACCUCUACGAUAUAAACUAGUUCUCUUCGCAUAGUAGGUUACUUCACGUAUCUAGUAUCAAAAGUUUAUAAACUUUCAAAUUUUCAGGUCCUCGAACUUCCCCGAAACUCGGAGCAAACGUCAAUUCUAAGGGAGCUAUCAAGAUCCACCGAAUCGUAUCAUAGUUGCGACAGAAAAAUCAAUCUAUGGUUCCGGAUUAACAAUCGCGAGCGGAAUAAAACGCAUACGUCAAGUAAAAGCGUGACCGCGAGCGUCGUUUCGUUCUCCGGGUAUUUCAGCUUGGUCGAAGCAACCGGAGGGGGGUGGUGUGCAGAGAGAAUCGAGGGAAGAGGCGGGUGGCAAGAGGGACGCACGCGGGGGUAGGCAGGCAAGAAGGUAGGACAGGGUGUACGGAGGAGGGACGAAGAGGCAGAUGAGAGAGAAGGAGAACGGUAAAGGGCGAAGAUCGAAGGAGGACGGAGAGAAACACUUGACCCUGCCUGGCUGGUUGCCGCACAGCCGAUGCUGUGCCAGCAAACCCCACC